Molecule: long non-coding RNA, 595 nt
Filed under: Rattus norvegicus (Norway rat)
Lineage: Eukaryota; Metazoa; Chordata; Mammalia; Rodentia; Muridae
Description: long non-coding RNA NONRATT006351
Source: RNAcentral
CGUGGGCCACAGCCACUGCUGGUUGGGUUUGGAAUUUGGGCAUCUCCCUGCCACUGUCCCCAUUGGGGUGUGGAUGCCGUGCCGCCCCUGACACCUUGACACUCUUGGCUCUAGAGAGCUUCUUCCGGAUGCGCCCACCUGGGGCGGCCUCUUUGCGCUGGAAGGCACUGAGGCUGGCUGGCAGCCCCUUGCUCUUGACCUUUGGCUUCAACUGGGCCACCUUGUGGGCCAUUGAGGAUGACAACUCGGCUGGGCCACAGCUCUUCUUGCACCGCACCUUCUCCUGUGAAUGGAAGUGUCAACCACAGAUGCGGUCCCCUCCUCAGCCUCGGCCCCCUGCCUCAGCCCAGGGCCUGUAGGUUUCCCCUGUCAUGGUGGGACCCAGAAAACAGCACCGCUGGGGACAUCUGGCCUUGGCUGCUUACUGGAGGAAACACCGAACCUGUCUACUUAGCACCCCCUCCACCCACAUAUAAACUUUAUAUGAUAGAAUGGGUGGGGGCCCAGGAGCCAGAAGGUUCUGUUUAUCACGGGUACAUUUGCUGUUUGCUUUUGUGAAAUGGAAAGGCUAAAAAGAAGAGUUCCCUAGGCAGAA